UUGUCAUUAGCUCAGUGUAUUAGAGCAAAUGGCUCAUAAUCAUUCGUUUGAUGGUUCGAAUUUAUCAUAGUAGU
This 74-nucleotide transfer RNA is filed under the name Enterococcus faecalis. RNAcentral's name for it is "tRNA-Met". It matches the Rfam family "tRNA". From Rfam's summary of the family: Transfer RNA (tRNA) molecules are approximately 80 nucleotides in length. Their secondary structure includes four short double-helical elements and three loops (D, anti-codon, and T loops). Lineage: Bacteria; Bacillati; Bacillota; Bacilli; Lactobacillales; Enterococcaceae. The record is from RNAcentral. RNAcentral also lists the same sequence under 9 other names.